This 189-nucleotide unclassified non-coding RNA is filed under the name uncultured Ascomycota. RNAcentral's name for it is "sequence contains ITS1". The record is from RNAcentral. Lineage: Eukaryota; Fungi; Ascomycota.
AAGAGUUAGAGAGCUCCGCUCUCGAACCUCCCACCCUCUGUUGUUAAAACUACCUUGUUGCUUUGGCGGGACCGCUCGGUCCCCGAGCCGCCAGGCCCCCUUCGCGGGGUCGAGGCGAGCGCCCGCCAGAGUUAAACCAAACUCUUGUUAUUAAACCGGUCGUCUGAGUUAAAAUUUUUGAAUAAAUCA